CCUACGGGAGGCAGCAGUGGGGAAUUUUGGACAAUGGGCGCAAGCCUGAUCCAGCAAUGCCGCGUGAGUGAAGAAGGCCUUCGGGUUGUAAAGCUCUUUUGUCAGGGAAGAAACGGUGGGAGCUAAUAUCUCCCGCUAAUGACGGUACCUGAAGAAUAAGCACCGGCUAACUACGUGCCAGCAGCCGCGGUAAUACGUAGGGUGCAAGCGUUAAUCGGAAUUACUGGGCGUAAAGCGUGCGCAGGCGGUUUUGUAAGUCUGUCGUGAAAGCCCCGGGCUCAACCUGGGAAUUGCGAUGGAGACUGCAAGGCUUGAAUCUGGCAGAGGGGGGUAGAAUUCCACGUGUAGCAGUGAAAUGCGUAGAGAUGUGGAGGAACACCGAUGGCGAAGGCAGCCCCCUGGGUCAAGAUUGACGCUCAUGCACGAAAGCGUGGGGAGCAAACAGGAUUAGAUACCCUGGUAGUCCACGGCCCUAAACGAUGUCUACUAGUUGUCGGGUUUUAAUUAACUUGGUAACGCAGCUAACGCGUGAAGUAGACCGCCUGGGGAGUACGGUCGCAAGAUUAAAACUCAAAGGAAUUGACGGCNGAGAGUGACGACGACGACGACGAGGGAGGAGG
This 620-nucleotide ribosomal RNA is filed under the name uncultured bacterium. RNAcentral's name for it is "bacterial SSU rRNA". It matches the Rfam family "Bacterial small subunit ribosomal RNA", at positions 338 to 951 of the family's 1533-position model. The record is from RNAcentral.